Vigna angularis (adzuki bean) is the source of this 108-nucleotide non-coding RNA. Lineage: Eukaryota; Viridiplantae; Streptophyta; Magnoliopsida; Fabales; Fabaceae. The record is from Rfam.
AUCUGAUGGUUGGGACAGGUGGAGCACAACCUCUUGAAACGUUCCCAGUAUUCAAACAAAUUCUCCCCAGGCAGUUGUCUAAUUCCACUUAUUUCUUUUCUCACAGCU